Molecule: long non-coding RNA, 4219 nt
Filed under: Daphnia pulex (common water flea)
Lineage: Eukaryota; Metazoa; Arthropoda; Branchiopoda; Diplostraca; Daphniidae
Description: uncharacterized LOC124210565, transcript variant X1
Source: RNAcentral
CGUGUCGCUCGUUUUUCAUGUGAUGGCGGAUUGUUGUCUUGUUGAGUGGUUGUCACAAGUUUUCCUAUUUUUCCAUGAAAAUUACCGAUGAAUUCAUAAGCGUGGUCCUCUCUGAUGUGGUUGUGAAUGGAUCGGGUUAUUUUCCAGUUUAUUUCAAUUUCUUCCUUGCGAAGACUCUACCCGUCAUCUAUUGAAAAAUAACGAAUCUGCACAUAAAUAACGAUGGCGCAUUGCCAACAAGUUUCAGCCAUUGAAAUCGUUGCAGACAGCAUGUUGCACGUCAUUUUGUUCUGGACUGGAGUCUGGAGGAAGUGAGUUUUCACUGAACACCGUGGAAUUCUCUAAAUUUAUUGAUCAUUGAUCAUUUGCCGACAAGCAACAAGGCAACAUGUGAUUAUUCUGAUCUUGCCAUGAACGGAAGAGAACACUUGGUGCAAGAUCAUAAUUUGAUGGUUAACUUAUGAAGAGAAGGUGAGGAGAAAAUAAUGAUCUUAUUCCUCCAACAACUAUGGCAGAUUUGUUCCCGGUUUACCCUCGCCGCUGUUCGAUAGACUUUAUCAAUUGGUGGGAAAUGACGAGUGGUUGGCCGCGCUGAAUUUCAAGAUCUAUAAAUUUUAUAUAAGUUUAUAAAUUACAAGUGCAUAUCUGGGCUCCCUUCUUCAGUGGCCCCGUUUCCCUAAAUAACCACUAACCAACGCCCGCCGGUGGUCACUCACUCGCUGCGACAACCAGGAGGAAGGGAGAUGUUUGGUCAAACAGGGACUUGCAAGGCGCAUGAUUCGAUGAAAUCUGUUGGAGGGUCAUGAGUCUAAGCCGGAAGCCUACUAUGAUGCAUUGCUCUCUUAAAAACUGUUCCUCGGCCCUCUUCGCUCUUUUUCCGGUUUCUCUUAACCAUGGGCGGGCAAUCUCCCUGGUCGAGUCAGUCGGGCAGUGUCUCCCCCUGCUUGACUGGCAGCAGUUUGAACCGGACGGUCUGUUAAAAUAAGAAUUUAAAUCUAGAACAACGCCUCCUUUGAGCGGCCCGGACAAUCCUGAAACCUUUAGGGUUGCCAUUCAAUCGAGGCUUAAACGAGAAUGACGCGGAGGUGUUGUCCAUUGAAGGGUUUUGGUGACAAGGAGUCAAUGAACGAAACGCUAAACCAAAUGAAAAAAAGAAAAUAUUAAAAAAGAUUUUCUUCUCCGACCGCAGGUGCAAGGAUUAUGUGUUUGAAACUUAGAAAAGUUUGCAGUAGAAUAUUUAAAAAAACCGACUGUCCUUCAAACGGUUCGAAAUGGAAGAUUUAUUCAUUCACCGAAGAAACGAGUCAAAUGACUCAAAUGUCAAAUGUGGUAUUUUUAAAGUGACUAAAAUUUAAGCCAUUAUCAUUUAUGAUUUGAUAUUUAUUUUGAUAUUGGUUUUUGUAGACCCAUCCCCAGCAACGUCAACCUGCAGAAAGAAAAAAGGCCGGUUUCUAUGACCUUGACGCUCGAAGGUCACGGAGAUCAUUACGUAAAACGUGUCAUGCAGUGGUAGAGGUUGGGUGAGAAACGAGAAUGACACGUGUUGCUUCAUUAUCAAAAAGACCCAUCCCCGGCAAAGUCACCUGCAGAAAAAAAGGCCAGUUUGCAUUUCAAUCGAAGGUCAUGGAUAUCAUUACGUAAAAGGUGUCAGGCAUUGGUGUAGAGGUUGGGUGAGAACGGGACGUUUUGCUUCAUUAUCAAAAAGGUAAAAUAGCCAUUAGGCUUAAGAGGAGGGGUGAGAAAAAAUUGUAUAAAAGGCGAGAGAAAAGUUGACAGGGAUCAGUCGAGUGAGCAUCUCCGACACGGUAACAACUCCAUAUUUCGUCGUAAUAUCAGUUCGCAAUCAUGGUUAAUUAUGGCAUUGUGUUGCUGUUGGGUGUUGUAUCGUUGAUGUCGACCACGAGAGAAAAUCUUUCAAAAGGAAAGAGAAAAGGCAACAGAAGUCCAUCGAGUGAGCAUCUCCGACCCGGCAACAACUGCAUUCUUCGUCGUAUUACCAGGUCGCAAUCACGGUUAACUAUGCCGUCAUGCUGCUAUUGGUUGUUGUAUCGUCGAUGUCUGGGUCGACCACUGGUGUACCGACGUCUCCUGGAUAAGGCGGAUACCAAACCGCAACGCCACCACCUUAUUACUCAACAACAUACGCAACGACCAGAUACUACACCGAGGUUGCACUGUUGGGUUUACAGUUAAAUCACCAAGGAUCGAGAUUAUUACACCACAACUUGUGCUGCUCCUCGAGCUACACUACCAAAGCGCUAGAGUACUACACCGAGGCACCUACUGAGACUACGCAACUACGUAUGCUGCCCCAACCUACGACACCGAGGCUCCAGCUUAUUACAUUACCAAAGCUGUCGAAUUCUACAUUGGAUCGCCCAAGUACGACAGAAAUCACCAACACGGCAGCCCCGAAGUUUCGAAUAAACUUCGUUUCAAACAGUGUAACGGCAAAGAGUGAAGGUGUUAAACGAAAAUCUUUUCCAAUCCCUGAGCGGUGCCCUUAAAGAUGCCCACGAGCACGUAGCGCUGUUCCGCAACAUCGAUGGCGGUAACAUAGGUCGAGUUCUCCGUUCUCCCAAAUAUUUGAGCCAAUCGACAACCGAGAAGGGGAAAGUGGAAAGUGUUAAUGUGUUGCCCAAAGCCAAUGUUGAGGGUGCAAUUUUGGAAGAUUACAAGUUCGCAUUGACCUUAAACAAUGGUCAAAAGAUUUAAACUGACCAUGUCGUCGUUGCAUGUCGGUUGGGACGCAAACACGUCUGUUGCUUUUGGUUUGGAAAUAGAGGAGAUUUUGGUGGUUAUCGAGUCAAUACCGAGCUUGAAGCACGAUCGAAUGUUUGGUUGGUUGGAGAUGUUACGUUCUUUUGUGAUAUCAAAUUGGGUCGCUGUUGUGUGGAACAUUAUCACCAUGCUGUUGUAUUAGGGCGAUUGGCUGGAGAGAACAAUACUGGCAAAGUAUCAUGGAUGAAAAACUGCAGUGCACUGUUACCAAGUGCAUUCUUCGUCGUAUUAUCAGUACGCAAUCGGUUGAUUGUGAUGUCGUGAUGUUACCGUUUGCCGUAUCGUUGAAGGCUGGGUCGAUCACUGGUGUACCGAUGUCUCCUGGGUAUAGCGGAUACCUAAGCACCACGCCGCCGCCUUACUACACAACGACAACAUUCGCAAGAACCGGUUACUACACCGAGGCACACAAUUACUACACCACCAAGGCUCCAGAGUAUUACACCGCAGCUGAUGCUGCCCCGAGUUACAUCAUCAAACGUACUACACCGAGGCUCCAACUUAUUACACCACCAAAGCGGCUGAAUACUACACCGAGCCGCCCAAGUACUACACCAACAAGGCUCCAGAGUAUUACACCACAACUUGUGCUUGCUUCCCCGAGCCGCUACACCGAAUCCCCGAAGUAUUACUCUGCCCUAAGCUACACAACUACGACUGAGGCGACCAAGUACUACGCAGCCCCAACUUCUACACAGCGGCUGCUCCUUCGUACUACGUUGAAUUGGAAUACUACACCUAGGCUUCAGUUUACUACACCACAACCUACGCUACACCUAGAUACUACACCGAGGCCCCUAUGUAACUACCAAGGCACCUGAGUAUUAUAACACUACUUACGCUGCUCCGACCAACUACACCGAAGCUCCGAAGUAUUACUCAAUCCGAGUUACAACACCACUAAGGCACCUGAAUAUUACACCACACCUUCCGCUUCUCCAACUUACUACAGGGACGUUCCUAAAUAUUAUAACUAUGUUCAGAUUUGUCGGUCAUAUCUUAAUAGUUACUAGUCACUGGGAAUUGUUGAUCUUUAAUAGGGAAAUCAAUUUUUUUAAAACCUGGGUGAUCAUUGUGUACGACUUCUCUUGCCACCUAAAAGCCCUAAGACGUUGCGACGAUUUCUUAUUUUUUUGGAUCUUUCCUAUUUCGCAUGUUGGAGGUGACCUAUUGCUCUAGUCGCUCUGUAUUCCGACAUAUUCUAGUGUUUGGACAAACUUCAUUUACAGGGCAAGUAACGAAAGAGACAUGUGGUGUUUACUAAAAAUUUUUAAUGUUACUAGCUCUGUUUUUAACAUUAGUUGGUGUAACAAAUGAGUUGCAGAUAGUGUAUGGUUUAUCACAUAAGUUUAUUUGAAGGGUCUGGAGUUGAUCAGUCUAUUGCCAAUAACUUAUGUAAAACUUCAAAGUUGUAAAAAAUAUACAAAUUUGAACUAAA